Oncorhynchus nerka (sockeye salmon) is the source of this 1101-nucleotide long non-coding RNA. RefSeq lists it as uncharacterized. Lineage: Eukaryota; Metazoa; Chordata; Actinopteri; Salmoniformes; Salmonidae. The record is from RefSeq and is a predicted model, not a curated record. The transcript has 2 exons.
AAGUAGCUAGCCAAUGUUUUUUUAAAAAUGUUUUAACUAGGAAAGUCAGUUAAAAACAAAUUCUUAUCUACAAUGACGGCCUAGAAACAGUGGGAUAAUUGACUUGUUCAGGGGCAGAAUGAAAGAUUUUUACCUUGUCAGCUUGAAGAUUCGAUUUAGCAACCUUUCGGUUACUUGCCCAACGCUCUAACCACUAGGCUUCCUGCCGCCCCAGUUAGCUUGGGUGCUUGACUGUCGUUGUGAGGUCAGGGUUUUCGGGAACAACCCUACUUAUUGGCCAGAGUGUCCAGUGUGUGCUCUGAAUGCGAAACACUCUGAAUUUACAAAAGGACAAUCUGACAGCACAGUUGCAGUCACCAACGCUCUGGAUAACAUACUGUAACAGCCUAACAGCCUAUUGGUGAAAUAAUGCCUAUUGCUAGGUCACCAGAUCCCAACCCAAUUGAAGACUUAUGGGAGAUUCUGGAGCGGAGCCUGGUACAGCGUUUUCCAUCAUCGUCAACAAAACACCGAUUUAUGGAAUUUCUCAUGGAAGAAGUGUCACAGCCCUCCAAUAGAGUUCCAGACACUUGUAGACUAUAUGCCAUUGUGCAUUGAAGCUGUUCUGUCUCGUGGUGGAUGGCCCAAUGCCCCAAGACACUUUAUGUUGGUGUUUCCUUUAUUUUGGCAGUUACCUGUAUGUGUAUACUGCAUACACGGUUGACUGGAGUCGUCUUUACAGCUUUGAGACAGUAGGUGGUGCUAUGCCAUCUCGACAUAGCCUCACCGUACAGCUGUGAAAUGUCAAACGGCCGAUUGUCAGCAGUGCAUCUAACCACAACAGUGGGUGAAACUGUGAGUUUAGAUAAGAGAGAGAAUGCUCUUUCUCUAAGGUUUAAUCACCAAAAGGAAUUUGCCCUGUUCCAAGCAGUCCGUAUUUCCCCACUGAACUAAUAAGUAUGUGAAAGUUAACAAGGCUAUCGUUAUUUAAACAACCACUUAAUCUUUCUCUCUCUCGACAAUGCAACUGGAUUGGCCCAUGAUGAGCCCCUGUAUUCAUUCAGAAAAACGGUGAGAACUAGCUUCUUGAUUAUUCAAAUAAUAAGUUACCCCUCUCUGUAA